CAAUAAGCGGAGGAAAAGAAACCAACAGGGAUUGCCUCAGUAACGGCGAGUGAAGCGGCAACAGCUCAAAUUUGAAAUCUGGCCCCCAGGCCCGAGUUGUAAUUUGUAGAGGAUGAUUCUGGCGACGCGCCUUCCGAGUUCCCUGGAACGGGACGCCAUAGAGGGUGAGAGCCCCGUACGGUCGUGCGCCUAGCCUCUGUGAAUCUCCUUCGACGAGUCGAGUAGUUUGGGAAUGCUGCUCUAAAUGGGAGGUAUACGUCUUCUAAAGCUAAAUACCGGCCAGAGACCGAUAGCGCACAAGUAGAGUGAUCGAAAGAUGAAAAGCACUUUGAAAAGAGGGUUAAAAAGUACGUGAAAUUGCUGAAAGGGAAGCGCUUAUGACCAGACUUGGGCGUGGUGAAUCAUCCGGCGUUCUCGCCGGUGCACUUUGCCUGUCCAGGCCAGCAUCAGUUCGUCCCGGGGGAUAAAGGCUUCGGGAAUGUAGCUCUUUCGGGAGUGUUAUAGACCGUUGCGUAAUACCCUGGGGUGGACUGAGGUACGCGUUCUGCAAGGAUGCUGGCGUAAUGGUCAUCAGUGACCCGUCUUGAAACACGGACCAAGGAGUCGUCUUCGUAUGCGAGUGUUCGGGUGUCAAACCCCUACGCGUAAUGAAAGUGAACGUAGGAGAGAGCUUCGGCGCAUCUCCGACCGAUCCUGAUGUUCUCGGAUGGAUUUGAGUAAGAGCAUACGGGGCCGGACCCGAAAGAAGGUGAACUAUGCCUGUAUAGGGUGAAGCC
RNAcentral lists this ribosomal RNA (776 nucleotides) under Geosmithia sp. RNAcentral's name for it is "partial large subunit ribosomal RNA". It matches the Rfam family "Eukaryotic large subunit ribosomal RNA", at positions 44 to 853 of the family's 3401-position model. The record is from RNAcentral. Lineage: Eukaryota; Fungi; Ascomycota; Sordariomycetes; Hypocreales; Bionectriaceae.